RNAcentral lists this ribosomal RNA (492 nucleotides) under uncultured bacterium. RNAcentral's name for it is "partial 16S ribosomal RNA". It matches the Rfam family "Bacterial small subunit ribosomal RNA", at positions 29 to 507 of the family's 1533-position model. The record is from RNAcentral.
AUUGAACGCUGGCGGCAUGCUUUACACAUGCAAGUCGAACGGUAACAGGCCUUCGGGUGCUGACGAGUGGCGAACGGGUGAGUAAUGCAUCGGAACGUGCCCAGAGGUGGGGGAUAACGCAGCGAAAGCUGUGCUAAUACCGCAUGUGAUCUGAGGAUGAAAGCGGGGGACCAGGCAGCAAUGUUUGGCCUCGCGCCUUUGGAGCGGCCGCUGUCAGAUUAGGUAGUUGGUGGGGUAAAGGCCUACCAAGCCGACGAUCUGUAGCUGGUCUGAGAGGACGACCAGGCACACUGGGACUGAGAAACGGCCCAGACUCCGACGGGAGGCAGCAGUGGGGAAUGUUGGACAAUGGGCGCAAGCCUGAUCCAGCAAUGCCGCGUGCGGGAAGAAGGCCUUCGGGGUGUAAACCGCUUUUGUACGGAACGAAAAGGCUCUGGCUAAUACCUGGGGCUGAUGACGGUACCGUAAGAAUAAGCACCGGCUAACUACGUG